RNAcentral lists this ribosomal RNA (253 nucleotides) under uncultured bacterium. RNAcentral describes it as "partial 16S ribosomal RNA". It matches the Rfam family "Bacterial small subunit ribosomal RNA", at positions 524 to 776 of the family's 1533-position model. The record is from RNAcentral.
UACGUAGGGUGCAAGCGUUGUCCGGAAUUAUUGGGCGUAAAGAGCUCGUAGGCGGUUUGUCGCGUCGGCUGUGAAAACUCGGGGCUCAACCCCGAGCCUGCAGUCGAUACGGGCAAACUUGAGUGUGGUAGGGGAGACUGGAAUUCCUGGUGUAGCGGUGAGAUGCGCAGAUAUCAGGAGGAACACCGGCGGCGAAGGCGGGUCUCUGGGCCAUAACUGACGCUGAGGAGCGAAAGCGUGGGGAGCGAACAGG